Unclassified non-coding RNA from Macaca fascicularis (crab-eating macaque), 148 nucleotides. It matches the Rfam family "Metazoan signal recognition particle RNA". From Rfam's summary of the family: The signal recognition particle (SRP) is a universally conserved ribonucleoprotein. It is involved in the co-translational targeting of proteins to membranes. The record is from Ensembl. Lineage: Eukaryota; Metazoa; Chordata; Mammalia; Primates; Cercopithecidae.
GCUGGGUGUGUUGGCAGGCACCUGUAAUCCCAGCUACUUGGGAGGCUGAGGCAGGAGAAUUGCUUGAACCUGGGAGACAGAGGUUGCAGUGAGCUGAGAUUGCACCACUGCACUCCAGCCUGGGUGACAGAGCGAGACUCUGUCUCAA